GGGUAGCUCAGUCGGUAGAGUCUGACUCUGCGGGUCGUGGGUUCGAGCCCCACGUAGGGCA
This 61-nucleotide transfer RNA is filed under the name Podarcis lilfordi (Lilford's wall lizard). RNAcentral describes it as "tRNA.Ser". The record is from RNAcentral. Lineage: Eukaryota; Metazoa; Chordata; Lepidosauria; Squamata; Lacertidae.